Molecule: long non-coding RNA, 934 nt
Filed under: Marmota monax (woodchuck)
Lineage: Eukaryota; Metazoa; Chordata; Mammalia; Rodentia; Sciuridae
Source: RNAcentral
GUGGACCCAAGGGGGAGGCUGAUUUCCAGGCAAGGUCACACAUGGCUGCCUGGCCUGGGACCCUGAAGGCAUGCUGGCUGCUGCCAACACCAAUGGUAGAUAAACAAGCCUGGAUUAGCAUUUUAAAACAGGUUUAACCCAAAGGAUAACUAUUGUCACAGCACAAAAUAUUACUGAUUGGAGCCUUCUUAAACCAUCUUUAGACAUUCUCCCAUGUCUCUGUCCCACUUUCCUAGUGCCAUAUUAUAGUAUUUAUAAAACAGCAGAGCCUGAUGUGGGGCCUGUGAAGUUCCAAGUGUACUGGCUGACUGUCUUCCAUUGCAGGGGAUUAAGAAACUGGAGCUGAAAAUGAAAACGUUCACCAGCAUUUUCCACAUCAGUGCACGAGUGGAGAUGGCACUCUAUUUUUUUUUUUUUUUAAUAAAUAGCACUAAGAAUUGCAGACAGUCAGCUCAGCUUGGGCCAACUUUAAAAGCCCACCACCAGAUCCCCACCAAGAUAAGCAGCCCCCAUGCUGAGAUGAUCCACCAUCAGCUCCAAGAGAGGACUGGGGCCCAUGCUAGGAAAGGAGGAGAGAUGCUUUUACAAAAAUAACAUAAUUUGGCUCCUGGAGAAGAGGAAGGGUAGAAUUCAGGCUGUGUUCCUUCCUCUCUCCCUUGCUUGCUUCCCCUGGUGAAGGCCGUAAUAGGCUUAGUGCUUACAAAGGUGAAAUCAAAAUGAGAGAAAGAGGAACUGCAGGAACCCUACUACUGGAGAUGCAGAAGUUGAGGCCAUCUAGGAGGCUCAUUUGCUUCAAGAAAGACUUAAGGAGGGAGGAGACCCUUUCUGCCUUCAUUCAACUUGCAAUGAAAGAAAAAAAGGCAAGAAGUAAACAGUUAAUGUAGAGGAUAUCACCUAAAGUGAUGGAAACCAUUUCACUUUUUCUUGAGUGUUU